Molecule: ribosomal RNA, 439 nt
Filed under: uncultured bacterium
Lineage: Bacteria
Description: bacterial SSU rRNA
Rfam family: Bacterial small subunit ribosomal RNA
Source: RNAcentral
ACGCGAGGAACCUUACCAGGUCUUGACAUCCCAUUGACCGCUAUGGAGACAUAGCUUUCCCUUCGGGGACGGUGGUGACAGGUGGUGCAUGGUUGUCGUCAGCUCGUGUCGUGAGAUGUUGGGUUAAGUCCCGCAACGAGCGCAACCCUUGUUCUUAGUUGCCAUCAUUUAGUUGGGCACUCUAAGGAGACUGCCGGUGACAAACCGGAGGAAGGUGGGGAUGACGUCAAAUCAUCAUGCCCCUUAUGACCUGGGCUACACACGUGCUACAAUGGAUGGUACAAAGGGCAGCAAAGCGGUGACGCCUAGCAAAUCCCAUAAAACCAUUCUCAGUUCGGAUUGUAGGCUGCAACUCGCCUACAUGAAGCUGGAAUCGCUAGUAAUCGCGGAUCAGCAUGCCGCGGUGAAUACGUUCCCGGGCCUUGCACUCACCGCCCGU